RNAcentral lists this transfer RNA (77 nucleotides) under Acidobacteriota bacterium. Its description in RNAcentral is "tRNA-Ala". It matches the Rfam family "tRNA". Rfam says of the family: Transfer RNA (tRNA) molecules are approximately 80 nucleotides in length. Their secondary structure includes four short double-helical elements and three loops (D, anti-codon, and T loops). RNAcentral also lists the same sequence under 4 other names. The record is from RNAcentral. Lineage: Bacteria; Pseudomonadati; Acidobacteriota.
GGGGCUAUAGCUCAGUUUGGGAGAGCGCGCCGUUCGCAAUGGCGAGGUCGUCGGUUCGAUCCCGACUAGCUCCACCA